RNAcentral lists this ribosomal RNA (925 nucleotides) under uncultured bacterium. RNAcentral describes it as "bacterial SSU rRNA". It matches the Rfam family "Bacterial small subunit ribosomal RNA", at positions 544 to 1484 of the family's 1533-position model. The record is from RNAcentral.
UCCGGAUUAUUGGGUUUAAAGGGAGCGUAGAUGGAUGUUUAAGUCAGUUGUGAAAGUUUGCGGCUCAACCGUAAAAUUGCAGUUGAUACUGGAUAUCUUGAGUGCAGUUGAGGCAGGCGGAAUUCGUGGUGUAGCGGUGAAAUGCUUAGAUAUCACGAAGAACUCCGAUUGCGAAGGCAGCCUGCUAAGCUGCAACUGACAUUGAGGCUCGAAAGUGUGGGUAUCAAACAGGAUUAGAUACCCUGGUAGUCCACACGGUAAACGAUGAAUACUCGCUGUUUGCGAUAUACUGCAAGCGGCCAAGCGAAAGCGUUAAGUAUUCCACCUGGGGAGUACGCCGGCAACGGUGAAACUCAAAGGAAUUGACGGGGGCCCGCACAAGCGGAGGAACAUGUGGUUUAAUUCGAUGAUACGCGAGGAACCUUACCCGGGCUUAAAUUGCAGAUGAAUUACGGUGAAAGCCGUAAGCCGCAAGGCAUCUGUGAAGGUGCUGCAUGGUUGUCGUCAGCUCGUGCCGUGAGGUGUCGGCUUAAGUGCCAUAACGAGCGCAACCCUAGUUGUCAGUUACUAACAGGUUCCGCUGAGGACUCUGACAAGACUGCCAUCGUAAGAUGUGAGGAAGGUGGGGAUGACGUCAAAUCAGCACGGCCCUUACGUCCGGGGCUACACACGUGUUACAAUGGGGGGUACAGAGGGCCGCUACCACGCGAGUGGAUGCCAAUCCCCAAAACCUCUCUCAGUUCGGACUGGAGUCUGCAACCCGACUCCACGAAGCUGGAUUCGCUAGUAAUCGCGCAUCAGCCACGGCGCGGUGAAUACGUUCCCGGGCCUUGUACACACCGCCCGUCAAGCCAUGGGAGCCGGGGGUACCUGAAGUGCGUAACCGCGAGGAGCGCCCUAGGGUAAAACUGGUGACUGGGGCUAA